ACACACACACACACACACACACACACAAACGUGUAUACUCCUUUUUAUGUUGCGUUAAACAUUUAAGUGUGUGUGUGUGUGUGUGUAGCGCUGGUGGAGGUGUAUCUCUCCUGUGAUUUGCUCUUUGUGGGGGAGAAUGGUUGGGGGAGAGGAGCCUGCACUGCUACACCUACUGAACACCUGCCACGAAUGGGCCAAUGGGUAAAACACACACAAACACACUCUAUGUGCCCUCUACUCUUCGGUAGAGUAUUACUCGCAGAGUUAGUGUGAAAAUCAAAUGAGCAUUGUAAAGCAUUAUAGAGCACACCCUUCACUUCCUGUAGAGUAUCGCAGUGUAUCAGAAUGAUUGCGUGGAUUGUACAAGAUUGCCCAUUAUAGGGUCAAUUUACCUACAUUGUAGCUCCUGUAUUGUACUACAGUCUAGUUUUAGAAGUAUUAUAGCGCUUUGAAAGGAAAUAGUAGAACUCAUGUAGAAUAUCAUGUGUUGCAGGUCUGCAGACGGUCUGUUAGCUGUUCCCUCGGCUCCUGCUCCGCUCCUGGCUGUGUGUUUAUACACUACGUUCCAAAAGCAGGGUGGUGACACUAAGCAUAUUACAGCAAACCUUCCACUAUCUGACCACAACCGAGAGGUGCUGGUUUACCUGCUGUUCUUCUAUUUAACAGACUUCCUCUCAGCGCACCUGAAACCCCAGGUUGAUAAGGUUUUGAAUCACUCCAAAGAUGUCAGCGUCCACCUUUUGACCCUGUUGGUAGAUUAUUUUGAUUGGCUUUCACUUUUCCACCAAUCACAAUCUGGUAUGGGAAGUUUUAUACAGAAUAUAAGCACAUUUCAUAGAUAAGGGUCAGUUGAACAGGAGCUCUGUUUUCACUCCUCUUUCUCUCCACAGAGCACAUCAUCUACCGCUGCAUCGCCAAGCUGACCCCGGAUACACUCCUCCGACUGAUGCCUUUUGCCCUUUUCAGGUACAGCAGCAGGUGGAGCUUUUCAGCUCUUUAACAGAUAUCACUCUUUACAGGAUCAGAGG
Molecule: long non-coding RNA, 1028 nt
Filed under: Astyanax mexicanus (Mexican tetra)
Lineage: Eukaryota; Metazoa; Chordata; Actinopteri; Characiformes; Acestrorhamphidae
Description: lncRNA (ENSAMXG00005003046.1)
Source: RNAcentral